Molecule: long non-coding RNA, 3032 nt
Organism: Mus musculus (house mouse)
Lineage: Eukaryota; Metazoa; Chordata; Mammalia; Rodentia; Muridae
Product: predicted gene, 32750
Exons: 3
Source: RefSeq, a predicted model, not a curated record
CAAUUGAACACUGAGGUACCAGGCGAAGGAACCUAAGCAAGCCAGGGGAAGGAGGCUGUGUUUCACUACAGAAUUUGAAACCAGAUCCCAGAUGUCCUAGAACACAGCAAAGUCUCAAAGAGGAAGACGUCAUAAUGGGAAUAGAGGCAUUAAAAUAUCCAGUCCAGGGCUCACAUCCUAUCGAAGCACCCCUUCUCCAGCAGCUCUUGCUGUGAGUCCUUUGCAACCGUCUCCUUCUGCCUACAGGGAGUCAUCACACUAUGGAUUCUUCUACAUCUUUUACAACACGCUGUUACAAACCUCAAGUUCAUCUUUCAACUUCCUCAGUUGUGGCCUUCUCGAGACUCCAGCUGAAUCCCUGGCCAAGGAAUCACUUGCUGGAAGUGUCAAGCAAAUAGCAACAUGGACCUCCAGAGUCUGAGGACCCCUGCCUCCCCGAUACUUGGAUGCGACACCAUAUGAUAAGUACAGGAUGGGACAUGGUAGGGUGAUGCUCCCUUCAUGGGGAGAACCAAGAGUACCUUUGUGUUGUUAAUUUUCACAUGGGAUGGAAACAUGAGCAGGACCCAGGCCGUCAGAUUUGCCUCCCGUCAUCUUUCCACUAACUGCCCAAAAUCACAAGUGAAUUUCUACAUACGGAGCCAUGAACUUAUAGCUGAUACAUUAUAUUCUUUCAUAGCUUGUUGGAAGUGGCAGAAAUGCAAUAAGUAAUUGCUUGUCAUUGCUUCACAUCUAGCCACCACAAUGAAUGACUACAAUACAUCAUCUAGAGCCCGGCAUGUUGCAAGCCCUCAAUUACAGACACAAUUGUCAUGACAUACUGACAGCCCAUCAACCAAAAGAGGCAAAGCUAUCUUUCUUUCCUUGAACAGCCUAACUAAAGUUUAUGGAACUACUUUCAGUUACUUAUGAAAUUAAUUUGCAUCUACCUCACUUAUUCAUUCUACUUUUAAUUGACAAAUAAAAAUUACAUAUGCUAUCUAUUCAUGGGACCCAAAGUAAUGCUGACAUCAUGCCUAUUUUAUUAAAUGUAAGCCAGACAUGAUUAUCAUAAAAAACACAUCUGGAAGAUAACCAAAUGCUUACGCUGAUCUUUCUGUAGUAGGAUUGUAUCUUUUCACCAGAGAAUUCUAAGGCAUUUUUUUCUGUAAAUUGUAUACAUUUUGUAUGACAGCAUAUUACAUUCUUAAUAAGCUAUCAAACUAUAUUAUUGUGUAGAAAAAUUAGUAAAUGAAAUAUGAUAGAAUUAAUAGAGAGCAAGAGCCUCUAACACUGUGGAAGUAACUAACUCAGAGAGCCCUUACCUGGCAUGUGUGAAGCACUUUGCUUGACAUCCAGCACCACAUUUGAGUAUUAACUUAUUAAUUCUAACAUUAAUAAUUACAGACUUGAAAGGAUUAUUGGAGAACUAAUAAAAACAAACAAGCAAAAAACUCAAAGCCCCCCAAUAGCAAACUAGGUAAACCUAGAAGCCUGAGAUCCUCAGUCUCUCUCUCUCUCUCUCUCUCUCUCUCUCUCUCUCUUUCCCUCCCCCUCGAUGCAUGUGUGUUCUUUCUAAAAGAAAUAACUUCAAAUACUGAUAUUCCUAUGAUUCCCCAGGUGUUAGACUUUAAUAAAAAUGGUUGAGCAUAUUAAAUAGGAUACUGGUGCUGCUCAGAUCUCCAAGAUACCAGCCUGAGGCUAGACAGCUCUCAUAGACUAUCUCUACAAUGAGCUCUCAGCCUUCACUUUCCAUUCUAAGAUUAAACGAUUUAGCUAAUAACAAGACUAUAUGGAUCAGCCAAAAACAAAUAUGCAUGUCUAGGCGUCUGUCCUUUGAAAAUUCUACGAGUUUGUCUUUGAGGGAGCUUAAAUGCUGCCAGAAACAGAUUCAAAUGAAAGCUAGUCAAACCCUGCACAAUGUAAACACUAUCCGUGGGUGCUGCAAAGGUACCUUAUGAUCAGUGGUAGCUUCUUACCUCUAUUUAUAAACCCCCUAAUAUGUGAUGUCAUGUCUUUUAGCUUUCUCUUAGUCCGUUCUCUCCUGAGCUGCAUUUAAUUCAGAACUUUGGCAUGUAUAUCUAAACAGCAUAGGUAUUUUGUAAGCCCUCAUGCUGAUCUGACCAUAGAUUUUUGGCUGCAGAAAGCCCAGUUAUGAGUUGCUCCACCAGAAUCUCCAUGUGCAUUGCUUCCUUAACAUAAGAAAACUAAAUGUGGUCACUUGCCAGGGGAGACUCUGGACAAGCAUAUAGGAAAAGACAUUGAGGAACCGUUAAGAAUCAUCCCAAGUACUCAGGAAACAAAGGAAUUCGACCACAGGAAAACAGAAGAAACGCCCAAGACGGGAUAAAAAUGCUGAAUCAACAUUUGGAAGAAAAGUUCUCCUUCUAAGGAAUGCACAGAAUCCUACAAACAGACGGUUAUUUUGAAAUACCUUUUUUGGGUGGCAUCCUGAAGGUAUCCUGCCAGAAUGUCUCUAAUCAGGAAUUGCAAGUUGAAGGGGGCAAAACUUGCAGGUUUGAUCUCGUACCUCCACACACUGCCUACUGCCUGCCACAGAGUCUCCCUGGUGCCACUUCACAGUCUGAAACAUAAGAAGGUACUAAUUUCCUCACUAUUAAAUUUUCAUGGCUGUUUAGUUUACCAUUUAAGAAUGAAGCAAUCAGGUCAAAGGGUCCCAUUUGUACCUUAUACUCAAAAUUGGUGUGAUCCUAUAUGCCAUAUUCAGCCUAAAUCUAUUUUCUUUCCAUUUUGUCUGAACUUUUCUGUCUCCCUUAUAAAGUCCUACAUCUUAGGGCUUUGUCCUAAUUACAUAUAGUGAGGGCAGUGUCAGUUCACUCUUAGAAAGGUGAGAAAUACUAGCCACUAGGUUUACUUGGUAAAUUAAAUGAGUAAGUAACGAAGCUACGCCCACACCUGAACUCCAGGUCAAGGCUGCACAGCUAAGAGCCUUCAACUUAGAAUUUAUCUUCAACCUAUGGGGCAUGACAUGACCCACUGUACCCUUUUUCAACUUUUGUGAAGUUAAAACCACCUCUAAGAGAAAACUGUUA